This is a long non-coding RNA of Erpetoichthys calabaricus (reedfish), 300 nucleotides long. RefSeq lists it as uncharacterized. The transcript is spliced from 3 exons. Lineage: Eukaryota; Metazoa; Chordata; Cladistia; Polypteriformes; Polypteridae. The record is from RefSeq and is a predicted model, not a curated record.
GAAAGCUUAGUUGUAAGCGAAACGUCAGGGUUAAGAAUCUGGUUGUAGGUGUUUUGUCUGUCUAUAUUCUGUUUAUAUAGGACCGGAUUUAUGGCUUCAGUUGCGGUCUCAUCCCGGUAUGAUGCUCUGGUACAUGUCCCAGAAGUAGAGGAUGAGGAUAAUUUUCAACCCCUGGAUGGUGUGAUGCGGGCUCCUUCAUAUAACAUCAAAAGGUGGCUAAUCGGGUGGCGGAAAUAUUGGAGUCAUCGGUGAUGGUUGGGCAGUCUUCCCAGGUGACAGAUGAGACCCCGAUCUUGGCAA